Long non-coding RNA from Sinocyclocheilus anshuiensis, 396 nucleotides. RefSeq lists it as uncharacterized. NCBI's taxonomy places the organism in Eukaryota, Metazoa, Chordata, Actinopteri, Cypriniformes, Cyprinidae. The transcript has 4 exons. The record is from RefSeq and is a predicted model, not a curated record.
CAAGGUUGGAGUUUAACUCUGCAGGGCAGCGGCUUUCCAGGACCGGAGUUCGCCACCCCUGCUAUAGAGUGUCGUAGUGACCACCUUUUUGCAGUAAAGGACCUGUCAUAGUUUGAUGAGUGGGAAGAUGACAUGAAGCGACACGAGCUCUUCUUCACUGAUCACCAAACUCUUCCUCAUCUGGGUCAGGUUAAUGUGACGGGGGUAAAAACCAGUGGCCAGACAGCUGAUCUGAAGCCCUUGAGAGUCUGAGAGCGUCUUCUUAAUGAGUCUGACUCUGGGUUUCACUACAGAGAAGGAUGAGAAGUGUUACUGUCGGUACCUCCGCAAGGUUUUCAUGCAAACAGGAUGAUAAACAUGUUCAUACAUAUACUUUAUACGAAGAUGUUUCACUUG